This is a long non-coding RNA of Mus musculus (house mouse), 608 nucleotides long. RefSeq annotates it as predicted gene 29328. Lineage: Eukaryota; Metazoa; Chordata; Mammalia; Rodentia; Muridae. The transcript is spliced from 3 exons. The record is from RefSeq and is a predicted model, not a curated record.
ACACACACACACACACACACACACAGUUGCAUUGCACAGGAGGGAGGCAGAGGUCUCUACAGAUUAUGAAUAUCCAUCUCAAUGUUCAACUUCCCCAACACAGGACAAAAUCACCAACAUCUUCAAUGGGAGAAAAUCCUUUAUCGGCUGAUUCAUUUCCAUGUUUUGUUUCUGCAGGAGACGGGAUAUCCUAGAGGAUUUCAGAAUCUCAACAGAAAUGUCAGCAGCAUCAGCAACAGAGUAAAGGUGCUUGAUAGCAAGACAGCAAAAGAAAUCGUGGAUGUCGGUUCAGCACCGUGAUGCUCGUACCGUCCACUGGAGCAGUUUGAAGAAAGACUUUCAUUAACAUACUUACACAGCAGUUGGCAUGCUUCCGGUGGCACAAUCAGGAUUCAAGGCAGAGCGCUUAAUGCCAAAGGGUAUUUCAUUGACACUCUCAGCACCAGAAUCUUCAAGGACUUCACCCCAGGCACAACGAUACUGAAGCAAAUGAACGUUUAGAGUGUUCUGAUAAAGAACGAUGGGUUUUUGUUGUUGUUGUUGUUUUGUUUUGUGUUUUUGUUUUGUUUUGUUUUUCCUUUUAAAUUAAACUCUCCAACUCAACUGCC